Molecule: long non-coding RNA, 496 nt
Organism: Heterocephalus glaber (naked mole-rat)
Lineage: Eukaryota; Metazoa; Chordata; Mammalia; Rodentia; Bathyergidae
Source: Ensembl
GCAGAAACAGAAUAAACAGGUCUUGCCAAAUUCCCCCUGUAACCAGCCACCAUUAGCAUUAGAUCACACUGUAACCAGUUUUCUCUCUCUGCACUCUUGUCAUGAGGAUAACAAAGAAUGAAGCCAACAGGACAGAGGUGCCAUGUAUGCACCAAGGUAAAACACUGGAAGCUGGACUUCACCGAGAUAAAGAAGAAAUGGAGGACAAAUCAAAGAUUUGAUUAAAUGGACCAGAACCAGUGGGAAAUGUGAGACCCAACUCAGCAAAUCCAGCACCAUGUUGAGAACAUUCUCCUCCGUUUUGAAAAAUAUGUGACUUCCAGUUGCACUCUGUCUCCCAGGAGAAAACCCCACCCCUAACCAAUAAACAGAAACUGUGUUUCAGGUGAUCUUCCACAAACCAUUACCCAGGGGAAUGGGAGGAAUUAACUGUGCUCAUCCUGGCUUCUGUAACCAGCUUCUGCAAUAAUCUGUAACCCAGGGGAAUGGGAGGAGG